UCAGAUUCAUAAUUAGAUUGUCAAGCUGUGCGUUGCCAGUAUGGAGUAGGGCAGGUGCCAGACUUGUGUUUCCCACAGCAUCUGUGAGACCCACUAAGCUGCUCGGGUGACCUGCCCUUGGGGCAGCCCCCGGACCCCCGUUCUGGGAACAACCCUGUUGCCCGCUGCUCUGGCCCAGCUCGGCCCACAGAGUCCGAUGGCGGCGGGCGUGCUGAGGCGCCGGUUGCAGGUUGUUGUGACCUUUGAGGAUGUGGCUGUGUAUCUGUCCAGGACAGAAUGGCACCUCCUUGAUGAGGCUCAGAGACGCCUGUACCUGGAUGUGAUGCUGGAGAACUUUGCUCAUGUAUCCUCGCUGGGUUGCUGCUGUGAAGCAGAGGAUGUGGAGGCACCCACUGAACAGGAACUCUCUGAACAAGCAUCACAAGAAAAGUAUCCUAAGGCAGCCUUGUCUACCCAGAAGGGCCACCCCUGUGAGAGAUGUGAGCCGGUCUUAAGAGACAUUUUCCUCUUGGUUUAUCAGCAGGGAACUCAACACAGCACAACACUGCUGAGGUGUGGGGCGUGUGCAAAACCAUUUUAUUUCAGUGCAUGGAGCAACCAGCAUCAGGAACAGGACACAACACAGAAUUACCUCCUAAGCAGUGUGGGCAGUGUCUCAUUUGGAAAGAGCUGCAAUUCCCAUAUGACAUGGAAGCCUUGUACAUCCAGGCAGGUUGGAAAAGACUUCACCAUGACCUCAGGACAUCUUGAGCAACAGGAUACUGACACCAUGCACAGGGCAAACAAAGUCUCUCAGUCUGGAAUAACUUUGCACAGUACGAAAUAUCAUUCCGUCCAAAGAGAAAAUAAGAAAGCCAUGGAUUGUAAGGACACAGUUUCUGAUGAUCAGAGGUUCCUUACUGGGAGACAGUGUUUUGUGUGUUUUGAAUGUGAGAAGUCGUUUUCCAGAAUUUCUGCCCUCUGUUUUCAUCAGAGAGUUCACACUGGAGAAAGGGCUUAUGAGUGCAGUGCGUGCGGGAAAUCUUAUACCACUGGUUCUGCCCUCCACGACUAUCACAAUGUUCAUGAUGGAGUAAGGCCUUAUGAGUGCAGUGAGUGUGGGAAAUGUUUCCCCUAUAGCUAUGUUCUUAGACAUCAAAGAGUUCACACUGGAGAAAAGCCUUAUGAGUGCAGUGAAUGUGGAAAAUCAUUUAGGUGGAGGUCUGGUUUUCUGAAUCAUCAGAGAAUUCACUCUGGAGAAAGGCCUUAUGUUUGCAAUGAAUGUGGAAAAUCUUAUAUCACUAGUUCUAACCUCAAAAAACAUCAGACAGUUCACACUGGAGAAAGGCCUUAUGAGUGCAGUGAAUGUGGGAAGUGCUUUCGCAGUGCUUCUGCCCUCCGUGUACAUAACAUUGUACACACUGGAGAAAGGCCUUAUGAGUGUAGUGAAUGUGGGAAAUUUUUUCGUAGGAGGUCCAAUGUUUUGGAGCAUCAGAGAGUUCACACUGGAGAAAGGCCUUAUGAAUGCAGUGAGUGUGGGAAGUGUUGUACCAGUAGGUCUGGCCUCUAUAAACAUCACAGAGUUCACACUGGAGAAAGGCCUUAUGAGUGCAAGAAAUGUGGGAAAUCCUUUGCCAGGAGCUUUACCCUGCGUUGUCAUCAGAGAGUUCACCUUGGAGAAUAACUUUAUGACGGUAAUUUAUGUGCUAAUACUUUCAUUAGUAGCUCCUUCUUUUGUCAUCAUUAAGCUGUUUACACUGGAUAAAGGCCUUUUGAGUGCAGUUACUUUGGAAUGUGGAACAUCUUUAUCUGUACCAGUCACCUGCAUUGUAAUCAGAGUUCUCACUGGGAAAUGUCCUCAUAAUGAAGUGAAUUUGGGUAAUUCUUUUUUUGCAUCCAUAAUUUCAGUGGUUUUGACAGAGUUUACUCUCCAGUGGUGCCUUUUGGUUGCUGAGAUUAUGUGUAAUAUCUUACCAGCAGUCAUGGCCUCUGAUCUCAUCAGAAAAUUCACAAUCACUCAGUUCUUAUAGGAUUAUUUGGGAAAUCUUUUAGUUCUAGACAUGUGUUUUUUCUUCACUGAGGUCACAUUGAUAGUUUUUUUUUUAUAUACAUGCCAUUUGAAAUCAUUCUCCUUGUGGCACUAACCUAUAUUAUAUAGAGAGACUUCAGUCUACGUAAAGGCCUUAGGAGUGCAGUCAGAGUGGGAGAUUCGUGUUCCCUCCUCUGCCCUUUCUAUCACCAGUUUACACAGGACCUAAGCUUUAUGAAGACUUCAAAUGUUGGAGAUUUUUCCCUCGUGCUCAUGGCCACCAUUUUCACUGUUCACGCUUUAGAGUCUGAAUGUAUAAGGUGAACAUGGGAAAUCUAUAGCCAUAAGUUGAUACCAUUUUUACAUUGUAUAAAUGGUUAGAUUAUGCAAAACGUAAUUUAUUUUUUUUAAUUUUAUUAAUUUUUUUAAAUCAAUGUAUGGUUGCUUCUGGUGAAUCCCCUGCUGGGAACUGGCCUGCAACCCAGGCGUGUGACCUGAUGGGGAAUCGAACUGCGAUUUUUUGGUUAGCAGGCCCGUGCUCAAUCCACUGAGCUACGCCAGCCAGGGUGAAAUUUUAAUAAUUUUUAAAGAGGGGGUCGGGAAAGAGAAAGUGAGGGAGAGUAACAUCAGUGUGUGAUUUCCUAUUGAAUGCCCCCUCCUGCAGUCCCCACCCUGGCAACCCAGGGAUGUGCACUGACUGGGAAUCCAACCACCAACACUUUGGUUUGCAGGCCCCAACCGAAGCCACUGAGCCUCACCAACCAGGGCCUUCAAAAUGGGUUUUCUUUUUCAAUGUAAUGGCGCUGAAACUUUCUGGAGAAACGGAGUUUAAUUUCAUAUGUUCCUACUCUGGAUAUAUCUCAGAAGUAGAAUGUUAAAAUUUUGAAAAGCCAUACAAAGUACGACAUUGACUAAUUUUUCUUUUAUGCAUUCUCACCAAAAGUGUUUACAAAGUGCAGUUCCUAACUGUAACAAAGUCUUCUUUCUUCAAUUUUUCUGAAUUUAACCACUUUCUAAAUGUUAAUCGUGUGUGAUCUCUCUGUCAUUUUAGUUCCGUUUCUUUGAGGAUUUAGUAUGAGCAUUUUUGUAUGUACUACUGAUAUGUUUUCAGUCAAAUCUGUGGGCACAUAAUUUACCUGUUCCUUUAUUAAUUUGGGCUACUCUCCUUUAAGAAAUAGUGUAAAGCAGCAAAGGUGGAUAAUCAAAUGACACCCACUUUCACUUUUUGAAUAACAAGUCAUUUUUAUGUUAUGGAGCAAUUGUUUCUUUUUUUGAGCUAUGUGAUAACUAUUUCAACACUGUGAAAUAUUUCCAAAUUGUUUGGGAGUUUACUGUACAAAGUACAAUGAUACAUAUCAUGCACUUUAAAGAAUAAUCUUCAUUAAUUAACACACUUCAUCAUUUUUGUAAGUUCCUAUAUUUAAUAAUACAGUAAAAAGCCUUGUGCCCUAGUCACUGUGUCUGAGUUUUUUUUAGAGCACUCCUGCAAACCAAAAGGUUGCUGAUUCGAUUCGCAGUGAGAAAACAUGACUGAGUUUACUGCCAGUUUCCCAGAAGGGGCCCUGGGACGAGAAAGCUUACAUUGAUGUUUCUCUCUCUUAGUUUGUCUCAUUCCCUCUGUGUAAAAAUAAAUCAGUUAGCCCUGGCUGGCGUACCUCAGUGGAUUGAGUGUGAGCUGUGUACCAAAGCAUUGCCAGUUACAUCCCAGUCAGGACACAUGCCCGGGUGGUGGGCCAGAUCACCAGUAGGGGACCAUGUGGGAUACAACCUCGCUGAUAUUUCUCUCCCUCUUUCUCCUUCCCUUCUCCUUUCUAAAAGUAAAUAAAAUCUUUUUAAAAAUUCAAUAUAAAUAAAUGCAUUUAAAAAUCUUUUUUAAAAGUGUGUUGGGAAAGAUGGGGAUGUUUUUCAUUGUGGCAUAUUAGGGCAUCAGUGCAGGGCAGAGACACAGCAAGACCAGUGAAAUGGAAAACAACUAAUACUGUUUUCGUUGUAUCAUGAAUUUCAACUUCGUUCUGAUAUGUUAAAGUGCUUUAACAUCUGGCUCACAGGCUUCAUGGGAAGAGUACCUGUCAUUUCCAUGGUUUCCCCAGGGGAAACUGCAUUGAGAUUUAACUGUAUUUUGUCUACCACCUUUUUAAGCUUAGCAUACAGGUGGACAUGAAGGAGACCCCUGUGAUUUAGGGCCAGGCCUUUGUGCAACUUCAGUUUUCAUUUGUAUCGCAGGCUCAGAUUUAUUCACUAAUAAAUAUGGUGCAUCAGUUUGACUUUCCAGUGUUUUUCCUACAUGUCACAGAUAUUCACUCUGCAUUAGUGAGGACAGUGGGACGUGAUACCUGGAACAUAUUUAGAACUGACAGUGGAGACCUAUAGUAUCAUUACCCACCUGCUGGAAUGUUCACCUCUUCUUCAUAGAGGAAACUCAGUGCCCACAUGACCCUGUACUCUGUCGGGAUGGCUACAGGAGACCGUGUUGUUCACCAUGUAUUCCCUGUGGCCAUGACCAUGUUCAGCAGCCACAUCUUCCUUUCCAGUCUCCCUGUGUCAGCACCAGAGACCUCUGGGUAGUAACCAUAGUCCUUUGGAACACAAGCCCUCCUUCUACUGCCCAAGACACUUUGGCCACAACUGAGAAUCUUACUCCUGAUUGUUCCAGACAGCAGCCAAUUGGCCAAAUGAGGUUUGGUCUGUGUCUCCAUGAGCCAAUUAGCAUUGUUAUGUCUCAGGGGCUUCUUCAGAGAAGAGGAUGAGUACUGAUCAUUCUUGGUGAUAUUUGCUGUCUGCUUCCACAACAUUUUCCUAAGUGAUACCAUCCUCUUAAAAGCACCAGGUGGCCUGGGUGGACCCUCUGAAAAUGGACCCCUUGCCCCUUGUUGCCUAAUAACUGCUGUCAAUAGAAUGUCUAGGAUUAGUGCUCAAUCUCCAAGCCCUUCUAAGUGUUACUGAUGUUCCAUUUUCAACAGAGUGAGCA
This is an RNA transcript of Artibeus jamaicensis (Jamaican fruit-eating bat), 4976 nucleotides long. It is a transcript of the gene named zinc finger protein 211-like, with no coding region annotated. NCBI's taxonomy places the organism in Eukaryota, Metazoa, Chordata, Mammalia, Chiroptera, Phyllostomidae. The record is from RefSeq and is a predicted model, not a curated record. The transcript is spliced from 4 exons.